Molecule: RNA transcript, 1346 nt
Organism: Erigeron canadensis
Lineage: Eukaryota; Viridiplantae; Streptophyta; Magnoliopsida; Asterales; Asteraceae
Gene name: ATP-dependent zinc metalloprotease FTSH 12, chloroplastic-like
Exons: 4
Source: RefSeq, a predicted model, not a curated record
UCGUGGCUAAUACUUUUUAUUUAAAUAAUCAGAUUUAAAGAUGAAACUGGUAGGAAAUUGUAGGAUCAAAAACUUAUGUUGACUAUUUUAAAGAUGAAACUGGUAGGAAAAUGAUUCAGAUGGUUUCACUAUUUUAAAAAUUUGGAAUGUUUAGAAGUAUCUACUAAUACUGAUUUAAACAAUAUCUAUUGAUGAUUAUAAAGCCUGGUAAGUAUAGGCCUCUUUUGCAUACCGAGCUAAGUAUUGCUAUUUCAUUAUGUAAACAAGAUAGUUUUUAAUUAUUGUCAUAUUCUUAAUAUUGACGGAGUCAAUCAGUUCUGUUCUGACUUUUGAGCUAGUUUCGGAAGUCCACUUUGCUUAGUCAUGAUAUUUCACCGUAGAUUCUUGUUCUAUAGAUGUCUUGUGAAAGAGAUUUAGAUUUGUUAUAACGAAAGAGUGGUACUAGAAGGCACAAUUUUUGAACUAACUUACUGCCAAUUAUCGAAAGGCUUUCAAGUUGAAAAAGACGAUGAAGUUUCUACUACCGUAGGUGGUGAAGAUGGUAAAUUGUUAUCUUUUAAAAGCAGAUGGUGCAGCUUUUCACACAGAUUCCUCUAUGGAUCCUCACCUUUCGAGGCCAUUGCUUCGAGCAUGUGAAGCUGUGGGAUACACACCAAGCCAACACCAAUUCAAGUUAUUAUUAUCCAAUACUAAUAAUAUUUUUUUUUAUAUUCUUGACUCAUUUUUCUAGCCAGAUGCUUCAACAUCCACCUUUUUGUUCUUUAAUUUGUUCUUUACUCUUGUUUAAUUCAUUCUUUCUCAUUUACAGUCGGUCUUUCACUCUUUUACUUUGUUGGCUAUUUCAGGGCAAUUAUAAGAAAUCUUGUCAAUAAGGCUGGAAUAAUGGUUGUGAGAAAAUGGCAUUUAAAAAUCUACCAAAAGGCUAUUGUUGUAUUGGAGAAGAAGUUGGGUGUGCUCCUGAAAGAGGGAGACAGCAACACAAAUGUGAAGCAAAACUGUAAAAGUAUCUACUGAACCAGUACAUGAACCAGGUCAUUCUCGUAUUGGCAUAUUUAUUUCCACAAUUGGAUUGGAAUCCAUUUUCACAAUUGCUACUAAGUGGAAACUGCAAUAUAUGUCUUUUUACCCUAGGGAAGACAUGGUAGAUCAAGCUAACUCAAUAUCUGGCUAUAUGAUGAUGCAAAUGGUGGUAGCUCAAGGUGGGCUUUGUGCUGAAACUGUUGUAUUCUGUUACUAUUAUUAUUUUGAUUUCUGCUCCAUGGAGACCAACUUUAUACUAUGUGUUUUGAUGUUGUAACUUGACUAUGUUAAAGAUUCGUUAUGGAAGUGACUUUUGGAAUCUCAAA